This 467-nucleotide ribosomal RNA is filed under the name uncultured bacterium. Its description in RNAcentral is "bacterial SSU rRNA". It matches the Rfam family "Bacterial small subunit ribosomal RNA", at positions 63 to 504 of the family's 1533-position model. The record is from RNAcentral.
CGAGCGAUCUUUGUUCGGACCGAGUGACUUCGGUUGCAAGGACUGAACUGUGAUAGCGGCAAACGGGUGAGGAACAGGUGAGUAAUCUACCCACGAAUUCGAGAUAGCUUCGCGAAAGCGGAGGUAAUAUUGGAUAAGACCACGAUUCAUAAGUUUUGUGGUAAAAGGCAUUUUAAUGUUGUUUGUGGAUGAGCUCGCUUCUUAUCAGCUUGUUGGUGAGGUAACGGCUCACCAAGGCUAAGACGGGUAGCUGGUCUGAGAGGAUGGUCAGCCACACUGGGACUGAGACACUGCCCAGACUCCUACGGGAGGCUGCAGUCGAGGAUCUUUAGCAAUGGACGAAAGUCUGACUAUGCGACGCCGCGUGAGGGAUGAAAUCCUUCGGGAUGUAAACCUCUUUCGAUAGGGAGGAAUGGCCUCGUUGAGAGGAGUUGACUGUACCUAGAGAAGAAGCCACGGCUAACUCC